AUCUUUGGGGCGGGGCGAAAUUCCCCACCGGCAGUAUAGUCUGCGAGCCUUUUUGGGUUGAUACGGUGAAAUUCCGUAACCGACGGUAUAGUCCGGAUGGUAAAAGAC
RNAcentral lists this non-coding RNA (108 nucleotides) under bovine gut metagenome. Its description in RNAcentral is "FMN riboswitch (RFN element)". It matches the Rfam family "FMN riboswitch aptamer (RFN element)". From Rfam's summary of the family: The RFN element is a highly conserved domain that is found frequently in the 5'-untranslated regions of prokaryotic mRNAs that encode for flavin mononucleotide (FMN) biosynthesis and transport proteins. This element is a metabolite-dependent riboswitch that directly binds FMN in the absence of proteins. In Bacillus subtilis, the riboswitch most likely controls gene expression by causing premature transcription termination within the 5' untranslated region of the ribDEAHT operon and precluding access to the ribosome-binding site of ypaA mRNA. The record is from RNAcentral.